UGCCUUAGUAGCGGCGAGUGAAGCGGCAAAAGCUCAAAUUUGAAAUCUGGCUCUUUCAGAGUCCGAGUUGUAAUUUGAAGAAGGUAUCUUUGGGUCUGGCUCUUGUCUAUGUUUCUUGGAACAGAACGUCACAGAGGGUGAGAAUCCCGUGCGAUGAGAUGAUCCAGGCCUAUGUAAAGUUCCUUCGAAGAGUCGAGUUGUUUGGGAAUGCAGCUCUAAGUGGGUGGUAAAUUCCAUCUAAAGCUAAAUAUUGGCGAGAGACCGAUAGCGAACAAGUACAGUGAUGGAAAGAUGAAAAGAACUUUGAAAAGAGAGUGAAAAAGUACGUGAAAUUGUUGAAAGGGAAGGGCUUGAGAUCAGACUUGGUAUUUUGUAUGUUACUUCUUCGGGGGUGGCCUCUACAGUUUAUCGGGCCAGCAUCAGUUUGGGCGGUAGGAGAAUUGCGUUGGAAUGUGGCACGGCUUCGGUUGUGUGUUAUAGCCUUCGUCGAUACUGCCAGCCUAGACUGAGGACUGCGGUUUAUACCUAGGAUGUUGGCAU
This 540-nucleotide ribosomal RNA is filed under the name Candida tropicalis. RNAcentral describes it as "LSU rRNA". It matches the Rfam family "Eukaryotic large subunit ribosomal RNA", at positions 76 to 632 of the family's 3401-position model. The record is from RNAcentral. Lineage: Eukaryota; Fungi; Ascomycota; Pichiomycetes; Serinales; Debaryomycetaceae.